RNAcentral lists this ribosomal RNA (253 nucleotides) under uncultured bacterium. Its description in RNAcentral is "partial 16S ribosomal RNA". It matches the Rfam family "Bacterial small subunit ribosomal RNA", at positions 524 to 776 of the family's 1533-position model. The record is from RNAcentral.
UACGAAGGGGGCUAGCGUUGCUCGGAAUGACUGGGCGUAAAGGGCGCGUAGGCGGCGCAUCUCGUCAGGCGUGAAAGCCCUGGGCUCAACCCGGGGACGGCGCUUGAUACGGAUGUGCUCGAGGGCGGAAGAGGCUCGCGGAAUUCCCAGUGUAGAGGUGAAAUUCGUAGAUAUUGGGAAGAACACCGGUGGCGAAGGCGGCGAGCUGGUCCGCACCUGACGCUGAGGCGCGACAGCGUGGGGAGCAAACAGG